This 66-nucleotide transfer RNA is filed under the name Musculium lacustre. RNAcentral describes it as "tRNA-Trp". Lineage: Eukaryota; Metazoa; Mollusca; Bivalvia; Venerida; Sphaeriidae. The record is from RNAcentral.
AAAAUCUUAAGUUAAGUUAGACUAUAAUAUUUCAAAUAUUAAAGUAAAUAUAGUUUUUAGAUUUUG